Molecule: long non-coding RNA, 1017 nt
Filed under: Numida meleagris (helmeted guineafowl)
Lineage: Eukaryota; Metazoa; Chordata; Aves; Galliformes; Numididae
Description: lncRNA (ENSNMEG00000009801.1)
Source: RNAcentral
AUGGCCAAAAACCAAAGCAGAAUGCCCACUCUGCAAACAGCCAUUCUUUUUGAUUUUUCAUACAAUUUGUGCCGAAGGCGACUUUCAGGAAUACAGUCACACCCUCAGAAGAGGACGCUUUGUCCAGCCCAGGGCAGCACCACCACUUUUGCCCAACUAGGCAAAACGCCCUUUUGUUCAACUAGGACGUCUAUGAUCUGCAUGACAAUUACAACUGUCCUACACCAUCAGAUGAUGAAGGAGGUGGCUCAGACUCAAGUUACUGCAGUCUUUCCAGAUGAGGCAGAUUUUCAUGGGUCAGAGCACAGCUCAUCUGUCUCCAGUAUUGGUCAGACUCCCUGGGAUGAUGAAACUCCAGGGCCUUUGUCCUCCAUUUUAGAAGAGUAUGGUACAACCUUAGCUUCUCUGUGGGAGUUAUUAGAGAGCCCUGAUGAGGACUCUGCUUGGAAGAGAACCAUGCUCCAGCUUCAGUUACAGGCCGGUGUUGACUCCAGAGACAGUGACUCUUCAUCAGAGUAUCACGAUAUCGCUGGCUGUGUUAAUCUCUACGCUGACAGGGCACCACAACUGACUGAGCUGUCCUCAGACUCUGAGGUCUCCACUGGGGAGAAGAGGGAAGAUGUGAACAAAGAGCAGUCAAUCCAGGGUCACAGAUGGAGUGACAGAGAACCAAGCAGAAGUUCAUCACCUCACUCCCCCUUGUACAAGGAGCAUGUGAGUAGUUGUCAAAGCUCUGUAUUCUCUGUAGUCAAGAGGACAGUGUCAAAGGAUGAACAAAAGAACAAAGAUAAAAUAAAAGAUCCUUCUCUGCACGACUCAGCCUCGAGCCUGCCUCCAGGGACAGCCAAUGCGUGCUCUCCUUGUAGCCAGACACUGUCCCGAAAGAGAAAGACCAGGAGUCUGCAGGCUUACCCACAGAACAGUGUUGACAGUCAUGGCCAUCAGCCUUGGAGGAAGCGUCACAGUGAACACCAGCUUAAAAAGAGACAAGAAGCAGAGACUGUCGCAAACAUGUAA